This 282-nucleotide unclassified non-coding RNA is filed under the name uncultured Ceratobasidiaceae. Its description in RNAcentral is "sequence contains ITS2". The stretch from base 1 to 53 matches the Rfam family "5.8S ribosomal RNA", at positions 102 to 154 of the family's 154-position model. Lineage: Eukaryota; Fungi; Basidiomycota; Agaricomycetes; Cantharellales; Ceratobasidiaceae. The record is from RNAcentral.
GAACGCAUCUUGCGCUCUCUGGUAUUCCGGAGAGCAUGCCUGUUUGAGUGUCAUGAAUCUCUCAAAUACAAAACUUUAUUGUUUUUGUGUUUGGACUUGGAAGCUGUCGGCGCAAGUCGACUCUUCUUAAAUGCAUUAGCUGGGGUUUAUAUAGUGGAUCCUUGGUGUGAUAAUUAUCUACGCCUUGAAGUCCCUGUAGACCUUGCUUCAAACCGUCUUACUAUGAGACAAUUUUGAAUCAUCUGGCCUCAAAUCAGGUAGGACUACCCGCUGAACUUAAGC